AUUGAACGCUGGCGGAACGCUUUACACAUGCAAGUCGAACGGCAGCACGGACUUCGGUCUGGUGGCGAGUGGCGAACGGGUGAGUAAUGUAUCGGAACGUGCCCCGUCGUGGGGGAUAACGUCGUGAAAAUUACGCUAAUACCGCAUACGAUCUAUGGAUGAAAGCGGGGGAUCGCAAGACCUCGCGCGAUUGGAGCGGCCGAUAUCAGAUUAGGUAGUUGGUGGGGUAAAGGCCCACCAAGCCAACGAUCUGUAGCUGGUCUGAGAGGACGACCAGCCACACUGGAACUGAGACACGGUCCAGACUCCUACGGGAGGCAGCAGUGGGAAAUUUUGGACAAUGGGCGAAAGCCUGAUCCAGCCAUUCCGCGUGCAGAAUGAAGGCCCUCGGGUUGUAAACUGCUUUUGUACAGAACGAAAAGGUUUCUACUAAUACUAGGAGCUCAUGACGGUACUGUAAGAAUAAGCACCGGCUAACUACGUGCCAGCCGCCGCGGUAA
RNAcentral lists this ribosomal RNA (500 nucleotides) under uncultured bacterium. RNAcentral describes it as "partial 16S ribosomal RNA". It matches the Rfam family "Bacterial small subunit ribosomal RNA", at positions 30 to 523 of the family's 1533-position model. The record is from RNAcentral.